Molecule: long non-coding RNA, 1231 nt
Organism: Musca domestica (house fly)
Lineage: Eukaryota; Metazoa; Arthropoda; Insecta; Diptera; Muscidae
Exons: 6
Source: RefSeq, a predicted model, not a curated record
AUCAAUGGCUAUAGGAGAGAGAUGCUCCCUCGAAGUUCAGUGUUUUGCUUAUAACCAUGAUUCGAUCUUUUUUUCUUAUUUCAUCAUGACAUUUCACUUCCCAUCUUCAUGCAAAUCAUCAUGGAAAUGAACAACGCUUUAGAAUGUUGUUGGCGAUUAGAAGCGUGUUAUUUUUGCUGUUGUUGUUGUUUCGAUUAUUAAGACGCAAUGGAAAGUCCAAAGUUGUUAAACCGAUAAAACAAGUUAUUGAUAAUAAUGUUAAUGCUUUUGUUGUUCCCCGGAACAUUUUUUGUGCAAUUUUCUAACAAAUACUACAGAGAAUUUUCAGUUGGCCACAUUCAUCGAUUCAAACGUGCGCGCGCACACACACACACACACACAUUUACAUUUGACUACAAUGGUCAGACAAGUUUACAUUCUGAACCGCACAAAAAUAGAUAUCAAUGGCUACGAAAGUGAAACCAGACAAGUAAUCGGAAUAUUUCCUAAUACAAACUAGCACCAUCGGAAGCAACAGCAACAAAACACAACAUCAUAUGUCUUAAACGUGUCUUGGCAAUAAGGUCGACAACGCUACCUUCUCUACUACCGCCGUGGCUGACUGGCUGGCUGGCUGGCUAAAUCAGACCAAAAGAAUUGUCCAGCAGCUCUGGUAAACAUACAAAUGUUUGUCUAGCAAAAAUUGGCGAGCACUCAGUGAAAUAACUCUCUGGAAUCACUCUCUUUUGCUAACCGACUAUUUUUCAGUAAAAUGUCUUAAUCAAAGUUUUUACCGGUGGCUUUAGAAUCUUCAGGAUUUUAAGAUGUUGUCGCUUAUUCCAAAUUCACUAGAAAUAUACCCACUUUGAACUUUUUAACCGGAAUGUCAUAAAUUGGUUCAAUUAUAGACAAAGCCAAUUUAUUACCGUUGCUAUCAGUACUAGACAUACACAUCAUUACCUUGAUGAGUAGAUCGAGCUUACGUUUCCUUUGCUGAAUUAAUGAAAAAUUUCAAAGUUUAUAUAAAAUUUUUAUCUUUUACUGGGGUCAAUUACUCAAUUUGAGUAUGAGUUGUAGCUCAAAAGAGUAUCGUAUUUUGAUAACAGCUUUUGUGUGAAUUACUCUCCAUAAACAAAGAUGACGAUCGACACUUGACUCAAACCCCCCCCCCCUAAAUGAUCGCAAAACAAUGUCUAUAAAACUUGGAGAUGUGACAAAAAUUGAACUGGAUUCUGUUGUGUGAUGCGUAUAU